UUGGGCGUAAGUGCUUUAUUUGGAAGUAGUGCAAUGCCUCAUUUGAACCUAUAUACAAAGGGUUUGACUUGUAUAAAAAUCCAAUUUUAAUUAAAAUAUAUAGAAAUGACAUUUUGAAAAUAGGUUUUCAAACCCUUAUGUUCACAUAGUAAUUGAGGCCAUUGAUACUUCAAUUUUAUUCCAUAUUCGGUUUGUUUUGAUUUUAUUCUCGAGAUGUGAAGCAUCUAUAACAAAAUAAUAUACAUAUAAGGGUUGAGCUCCUUCAGGGCAUGAAAACCAUCAAAGGAUGUUCGAGCACCAUACAUAUGAUUUACAAGCUAACUAUACAACUGAAAAGGGUCCAUCAUGGGAACCAGAUCUAGAUUCGACAGCUGGAUCUUAGAUUAUGUGGCUCCUAGGCUCACAUAAUAUCAUAUGAAUAGCCUACAUAACGAGGAUACUAAAAUAAAAUAGAUAUUUAAUCCAAACGAUGUAAAACAAAGGAUUCAUCAGUUAAAUCCCUGUAUGCGCAUAGCCAAGCUUCCUGUUCCCUCUAGAUACAGAUCUAGGGUCACGUGGUUACGUAAUAUUUACAAAAAAACUAGAAAGAAAACUAGAUUUAAAUAAAUGCUAGGCAUUCUAGCUCUAUGAUUCCAGUUUUACAACUUUUGAACAGAUUAAAAGUCAGAUAUGGCUAGAUUUAGAUAAAUAUAGUUC
Molecule: long non-coding RNA, 696 nt
Filed under: Panax ginseng (ginseng)
Lineage: Eukaryota; Viridiplantae; Streptophyta; Magnoliopsida; Apiales; Araliaceae
Description: long non-coding RNA (PGIN_LNC004026)
Source: RNAcentral